This 212-nucleotide unclassified non-coding RNA is filed under the name Hevea brasiliensis (rubber tree). Lineage: Eukaryota; Viridiplantae; Streptophyta; Magnoliopsida; Malpighiales; Euphorbiaceae. The record is from RNAcentral.
AAAUUAGGAGAGAUUGGGCCUGCGUAGAUUGCGCUUUUAAGGUGAGCACUGAAUCGAGAGAUCAUAUUUUUGGUGUGAGUGAGAUACAGGAAAGGUAUACCACUAAAUUUUGAUGGAGUGGUGCUCAUUAUUGUAUUUCAUUAGGUUUAUACUUGUAUUGAUCAUUGGUAUAGUAAUAAUGUAUCUGAUUUUUCAGAAAACGAAACAAACAA